RNAcentral lists this non-coding RNA (77 nucleotides) under Nostocoides sp. RNAcentral's name for it is "Tetrasphaera sp. ZTP sequence". It matches the Rfam family "ZMP/ZTP riboswitch aptamer (pfl RNA motif)". From Rfam's summary of the family: Previously known as pfl RNA. ZMP is also known as AICAR. The record is from RNAcentral. Lineage: Bacteria; Bacillati; Actinomycetota; Actinomycetes; Micrococcales; Intrasporangiaceae.
UCGCCGGCGACGACUGGCGAGGGUGGGUCACCACCGGGAAGUCCGCAGUCGGGGCAUCGCCCGCCUGGGUGCCCCGC